Molecule: long non-coding RNA, 662 nt
Filed under: Pogona vitticeps (central bearded dragon)
Lineage: Eukaryota; Metazoa; Chordata; Lepidosauria; Squamata; Agamidae
Description: lncRNA (ENSPVIG00000002395.1)
Source: RNAcentral
AACCUUGCUAAGAGAUAUGACAAGGAUGGAGUUGAAAACAUUUGCCAGGCCCUUCAUAGCUGGCGUGAUAUAUAGUGUUAUAAUCUAUUAAUAACACACUGCACAGGUGUGAGAAAUAUGUGUUUAAAUGCAUGUAUCAUUUAGGGAGAUUUUGCUAUGGAAGCCCAAGUGUGAAAUACAAAGUACAGCCAGCAAGUUAAAAUCAGAGAGGAGAGAACAGCACUUUGAUCAAAUCAGAACCUGAAGGGAAAUCUUCUGCAAACUAUGGCGCCAGGUAUCUGCUGCCAGAUGCGUCGCCUCCUGCCCCAAGAGGAAACACAACAGAUAGCUGUAAGCAAGAACAAGCAAGAUGGCCAGCCUGAAUGUAAAAGAAUGAGCUGAGCAAAAGCAUUGAGUGAAAACGCAUACAAUGACGAAGAGAUGUCUUUCAGCUUAGGAAAAGGCUGGUUUCUUAUAAUGUGCAAAUUGGACUAUCCAGUUUUAUCUUGAGUUGGGGUGGACUGGAAAGACUCAAGUUUAAACUCCUGCCCAGCCAGAAAGCUUACCUUGCAUGAGCCUCAAGGUCUGAUUCACUUCCCAUGAUUUUUUUUGGGGGGUGGGGGCACUAAAAUUAGAGGGAAAUCAUGGAUGCCAGCCUGAGAGCCUUACUGGAAGUGUGAAAU